UUAGAAUUAGUGUUCAAGCUUCUAACUUGAGUGAGGGGACGGUGCUCUCCAUUCUAUU
This 58-nucleotide transfer RNA is filed under the name Protaeolidiella atra. RNAcentral's name for it is "tRNA-Ser". The record is from RNAcentral. Lineage: Eukaryota; Metazoa; Mollusca; Gastropoda; Nudibranchia; Aeolidiidae.